UACUGAUGAUGAGAACAUUGAGCAAGUAACAACUUGAACCAUUCCCAAGCUUCAUGAAUUGGCUUGCCUUCCACUUGAGAGAAUGUAUAAAUCUUGUUUCUCAAAUC
Molecule: small nucleolar RNA, 107 nt
Organism: Coffea arabica (coffee)
Lineage: Eukaryota; Viridiplantae; Streptophyta; Magnoliopsida; Gentianales; Rubiaceae
Source: RefSeq, a predicted model, not a curated record